This 27-nucleotide non-coding RNA is filed under the name Homo sapiens (human). The record is from RNAcentral. Lineage: Eukaryota; Metazoa; Chordata; Mammalia; Primates; Hominidae.
UGAAAUCCAAGGAGGGCCAUCUUCAGA